AGUGGCAAUAGUAGUAGUGAUGGUGGUAGUAACAGUAGUAAUUGCAAAAAUGUAACUACUUAUACAUACAACAACGAAUACGAAAACAACAAUAUAAACAGAAACUCAUUUAAUAACACAUAUAAGAAUUUAUUUAAAUGUAAUAAGAUAGAAAAUACGGAUUUGCAAAAAUCAGUAGAUAAACUUAAUACAAUUUUACCUCCAUAUAUACAACAUAUUUAUAUGUAUAAUAAUUUUAAAAAUAUAAAAAAAUUAUUUUUAAUUAAAUUUUUUCAAAACGAUUAUAUAAGAAAUGAAAUGUUGGAUAAAAGAAAAAUUAAAAAAAAUAGAAAUAAACUUUAUAUAUAUAACAAAAAAGUAAACUAUAUAAAGAUAGAUAUAUGUAAAGAAUAUAUUUUUAUUGAAUAUUUUUUGUUAAUAAAAAAUAAAAAUAAAAGUUUCAUAAUUGUUUUAAAAGAAAAUAAAAAAAUGGAUUUUUUAUUUAUUUUAAAAAAUUGUGCUUAUUUAUAUGUUAAUAAUAAAUCACAUAUUAUGUGUAAUGUAAAUACUGUAUUGUGUAAGUUGAUAUUCGAAAGUGGUAUAGACACAUUAAUUAGUAUAACAAAGGCAUAUGAUAAUAAAACUACUCAAGAAAUAGGUAAAAAUAUAUUAAAAUUCAAUAAAUUUAAAAAACAAUAUUAUUACUUUAUUAUGAUAUAUAACGGGUUUAUAAAUAAAGAUAUUUAUUUAAUUAAAAAAAGUUUACAAUUGUUAAAAUUUAAAGAAAUGUUAUUAUUAUGUAGAAUCUUAUUUCAUUACAUUUAUAACAAUUUUAAUAUAAAAAUAAUUUUUUUUUAUUUUAUUGAUUAUUUUAGUUUUAUUAAUCAUAUAUGGUUAAACCAGUACAAAAGGCAAACACGCAAUUUUAUAAAAGAUAUAAAACAAAAAAAGAAUUUAUAAAAAUAUAUUUUGCUAUAACUUUAAAAAACGUCUUUGAUAUAGUACACAUUAUUGCAAAUAAAUAUUAUAGCAUUAAAAAUGUUGACAAAUAUGGAAAUGUUACUACACUAUAUGAUAAUUAUGUUUAUAGAAAAAGACACGGUAUAGAAAAGUUACAAAUGCAGGACUUAAACAAUACGGAAAAAAGCAAAAACAAAACUUCAAUACAUAGUUAUAUUUUAAAUAGUAAUAAUUUAGAAAAAACAAAUAAAAAAGGUAUCAGUAAAAAUGAACAAACUGUUUUAAAAUAUAAACAAUUGAAAGAAAAUGUGAGUAUUGCUUAUGGUUUUGGUCAAAAAAAAAGCACUGAUAGGGGUGGAGAAAAAAAUAUAAAAGGGAAUGUUGGUAAUUAUAGUAAUACUUUUGAUAUAUCGGUUGGAAAAAAUCGGGACAUAGAAGCAGGUGAAAUAACUAGAACAAGCGAAAUGGGUAGAACGGUAGAAAUGGGUAGAACGGUCGAAAUGGGUAGAACGGGCGAAAUGGGUAGAACGGGCGAACUGGGUAGAACAGGCGAAAUGGGUAGAAGGGGUAUAACGAACGGAGUAAACGAAACUAAGCGAAAGAUCUCUAUAGUUAAUUCAAACUAUUUCAAUGAAACGAAAAAAAUAUCACAAAGUUAUAAGAGUGAAGCAAAAGGACUGCCAAUGAUAAGAACAAUCCAAAAAAAAAGUAAUUUAUUAUCAACUGAAAAAAAAAAAAAAAAAAAAAACCUUUGUAUAAAUAUAAAUGACAAAUAUUUCGAAGUAAAUAAAUAUAAUAAUGAUAUAAAAAAUAUUUUGAUUGAUAUAUUUGAAAUUUAUAAUUUUGAAAACUUUUGUUUUGUUAAUUAUUGUAAUAUAUUUAAAAAUAAGAAAUAUAGUAUCGAAAUAUGUGGAAUUGCACUAGAAUAUAUUUUAUUUUUUAUUGACUGUUAUACAAAAAAAAGUACCAAAAAAAAAAAAUAUGAUAAAAUAUUUUUAGAGAUGAAUAAAUAUGUAUAUUUUAUAAAAAUAAUCAUGAAUAUUUUAGUUAGUAACUAUUCCACUAAAUUAAAAAAAAAAAGAAAAAGAAAUGUGAGUAAGUUGGUUACUGAAUCGGAAGAGUCUUUUGUUUGUGAUGCAACAGAUGUGGUAUAUACAAGAGAUCAUCCAAAGGAUUAUACAAAGGAUUAUACAAGGGAUCUUACAAGGGAUCUUACAAGGGAUCUUACAAGGGAUCAUAUAAAUUAUGAUGUUUAUAAUAGUAACAACUUAUGUUAUAAUAAUAAACAAUUCGAAUCUAACUUAUUUCAUAAUGUUUAUAUAAAUACAUUUAAAAUGUAUGAUAUUAUGUCACAGUUAUUAUUGUAUGUAAAAGAAACACCAGCUAAUAACCUGAGUGAACUAUUUUUCAAAUAUUAUUAUCGUAUGUUGUUUAAUACUGGUAAUAAUAAUGAAAACGAUAUAGGGGAGGAAUAUAUUAUAGACAGUUACAAAGAAGUAAUGUAUUGUUUAAAAAAUAAAAAAAAAAAUAAUAUAUUAAAAAAAAAAAAUUAUUUUAACAACAAAAUAACACCAGUGACAAAUUUCAAUUUAUUUGGUAAUAACAAUUAUUUUUAUGCAUAUAUGUAUAUGCAUAAGAACCAAAUGAACCCAAUUUCUAUUUUAAUCAAACGAGUGUCAGAUGUAUUAUUUAUGGAUGAAAUAAAAAUCAAUGAAAAGAAUACUUCGAAUACUUAUCAUGAUAUUAGUGUUGUGAGUGUUGAAAAUGUAUAUCCUAAUGGUAAUAAAAAUAUUAACAUUUGUUAUGGAAAUGGUAAUAAAGGCAUACAUCACAACGAAAAUAACAUAAAGUUUGAUAGUAGUAGCAAACACAAUAAUAGUAGCAUCAGUAACAAUAACAUAGACAGUUUCACGUUGAUGAAAGAAAACACAAACUAUUUUGCUAAUCAAUCUAUUAAUGAAUAUAAUCUGAAAUUUUUCUUUUUAAUUUUAUGUUACAGUUUUAUAAUAACAAAAAAUAUAAAAAAAGAGUUAUCAUAUGUGUAUAUGAAGGAUGCUUAUUAUAAAGAAAUAGCAGAACGUAACAAAUUUUUAACAACUAAACACAGCUUUAAUGAGAUUGUUUAUGACAUGGUUAAUACAAAUGAUCUAAAUACAGUAAUUUAUUAUAUAUACACAAAAAAAUAUGAAUUUUUUUUUAAUUUUGUAUUUUUAUAUUUUAAUUAUCAUAUUUUACAUACCUUUUUAAUAAAAGGUAGAAACAAAUUAGCAAAAGAGUACUCUGCGUUUGUUACUGACAAAAAUAAGGCCAGCUAUAAAUAUAUCGAAACAACAUAUAAUAAAAAUGGUGUAGCAAAAAACAGGAAGGAAUCGAAUGUAUAUUCAAAAAAAGAGUUCAACACAAUUUUUAAGAAAGUUUUAAAUACAAUUAUAAAUGAUUAUGAUAUUUUUAACAUGAAUAAUAAACAGAAUAAUUCAGAAGUUAAAAGUUUUUUAACAUAUUUAUUUAAUAAAUAUUCUAAUGAUGAUUUUUUUUUUAUAAGUAAUAAAAACAAAAGUAACGAGAUUGGCAGUUGUGUUAGUACUCAUCGUGUUGCAGAUAAUCAUAACACUUGUGGAAUAAUUUGCAAAUCACAUACGAACAAAUUGUUAAAUAAGGAGCAUUCUAUUGGUACUAAAAGUGUGUAUAAAAAUUAUGUUUAUAAUGAUAAAACGAUUGUACUGCAGAAUAGUAAAGUUUUAAAGGAUAGUCCAAAUCCAUUGAAAGGAGAAAGACGAUUAACAAGUAACCAUCAACCUGUCAACAUUAAUUCGUUUGAUUCGAAUAAGACACAAAAGAACCGUCGUACCGAAUUUAUAAAUUAUGAAUAUAUAAAUAAGCUAAAAACAAUUAUAAAAAAAUUUUAUUUUAUGCAAAAAAUGUUAACUAAUAAAUUUAUAUUACUUGAGAAAGAAAUGGAAAUGGGUGUAAAAAAUAUAUAUUCCGCAUUUAAUUUUUCUUACAAAACGAAAAGUAUGUUAAAAACGGAUGUAGUUAAUAUAUUACUUUUAAUAUAUAAAAUGAUUAUAAAAGAUAAAAAAGAAAAUAUAAAACUAUGUAGAGUUUUUAAAACGAAUGUUAUAAAAAGAUUAAUACACAAUUCUGAUAUACCAUUUCUUUUUAUACAUAUGAAUCCACAUACUAUACUAAUUAAUUAUUAUAGUACUAUAAUAUAUAGAUUAUGUUGUAAUAAUAUAGAAAAAUAUUUAAGUAUAUGUAUAUAUAUAUUAAAACUAUUAUGUGUUGAUGUUUUAAAAUUUUUUAAAAUGGUAGCAUUUAAUACUUUGAAAAAAUAUAUUAGACAUAAUUUAAUAUUAUUUUUGUUGCAAAAUAAUUACACAUUUAAUCCUGAUGAAAAAAAAGCAAUUAAAUUUAUUUCCAUUUUAGAAAAUUUUUAUAAAAAUAGUUCUUAUAUAACAGAACAUAAUAGUAGUUACACAAAUUAUAUUUUGAACAGAAGUGUGUUCAGUUGUGAUCCGACAAACAGCAUUAUAAAUAAAUUAAUAAAGACAAAUAAAAUUAAAUAUUAUGGUUUUUGUUAUUUGUAUGAUAUUAUAUACAAAGAAAAAAAUGUAUUAAAUGUUUUUAAUUAUUUGAUAGGAAAAAAUAAUCAAUCUUUUCAAAACACUUUUGAUUUAUAUAACAAUUUUAAUCCUACUUUUAUGUUUAUAGUCAUGUCUUU
This 4660-nucleotide long non-coding RNA is filed under the name Piliocolobus tephrosceles (Ugandan red Colobus). Its description in RNAcentral is "lncRNA (ENSPTEG00000019611.1)". The record is from RNAcentral. Lineage: Eukaryota; Metazoa; Chordata; Mammalia; Primates; Cercopithecidae.